This 596-nucleotide ribosomal RNA is filed under the name uncultured bacterium. RNAcentral describes it as "bacterial SSU rRNA". It matches the Rfam family "Bacterial small subunit ribosomal RNA", at positions 331 to 929 of the family's 1533-position model. The record is from RNAcentral.
CCAGACUCCUACGGGAGGCAGCAGUGAGGAAUAUUGGUCAAUGGACGGAAGUCUGAACCAGCCAAGUAGCGUGCAGGAUGACGGCCCUCUGGGUUGUAAACUGCUUUUAGUUGGGAAUAAAAAGAGGGACGUGUCCCUCAUUGUAUGUACCUUCAGAAAAAGGACCGGCUAAUUCCGUGCCAGCAGCCGCGGUAAUACGGAAGGUCCAGGCGUUAUCCGGAUUUAUUGGGUUUAAAGGGAGUGUAGGCGGUCUGUUAAGCGUGUUGUGAAAUUUAGGUGCUCAACAUUUAACUUGCAGCGCGAACUGGCGGACUUGAGUGCACGCAACGUAUGCGGAAUUCAUGGUGUAGCGGUGAAAUGCUUAGAUAUCAUGACGAACUCCGAUUGCGAAGGCAGCGUACGGGAGUGUUACUGACGCUUAAGCUCGAAGGUGCGGGUAUCGAACAGGAUUAGAUACCCUGGUAGUCCACACCGUAAACGAUGAACACUAGGUGUCGGGAGGAAUCUCGGUGCCGGCGCAAACGCAAUAAGUGUUCCGCCUGGGGAGUACGUUCGCAAGAAUAAAACUCAAAGGAAUUGACGGGGGCCCGCACAAG